Molecule: microRNA precursor, 104 nt
Filed under: Astyanax mexicanus (Mexican tetra)
Lineage: Eukaryota; Metazoa; Chordata; Actinopteri; Characiformes; Acestrorhamphidae
Description: mir-454 microRNA precursor family
Rfam family: mir-454 microRNA precursor family
Source: Rfam by way of RNAcentral
GUUCAUCCACCUUGCAGGCGAGACCCUAUCAAUAUUGCCUCUGCUUUUUGAACUGUAACUGGAGUAGUGCAAUAUUGCUUAUAGGGUCUUGACUUUGAGGAAAA